GCCCUGGUGGCGGAAUUGGUAGACGCGCCAGCUUCAGGUGCUGGUAUUGGUAACGAUGUGAUGGUUCGAGUCCAUUCCAGGGCACCA
This 87-nucleotide transfer RNA is filed under the name Sphingomonadaceae bacterium. RNAcentral describes it as "tRNA-Leu". It matches the Rfam family "tRNA". Rfam says of the family: Transfer RNA (tRNA) molecules are approximately 80 nucleotides in length. Their secondary structure includes four short double-helical elements and three loops (D, anti-codon, and T loops). Further hydrogen bonds mediate the characteristic L-shaped molecular structure. tRNAs have two regions of fundamental functional importance: the anti-codon, which is responsible for specific mRNA codon recognition, and the 3' end, to which the tRNAs corresponding amino acid is attached (by aminoacyl-tRNA synthetases). tRNAs cope with the degeneracy of the genetic code in two manners: having more than one tRNA (with a specific anti-codon) for a particular amino acid; and 'wobble' base-pairing, i.e. permitting non-standard base-pairing at the 3rd anti-codon position. RNAcentral also lists the same sequence under 2 other names. Lineage: Bacteria; Pseudomonadati; Pseudomonadota; Alphaproteobacteria; Sphingomonadales; Sphingomonadaceae. The record is from RNAcentral.